This is a long non-coding RNA of Alosa sapidissima (American shad), 1485 nucleotides long. RefSeq lists it as uncharacterized. The transcript is spliced from 3 exons. NCBI's taxonomy places the organism in Eukaryota, Metazoa, Chordata, Actinopteri, Clupeiformes, Clupeidae. The record is from RefSeq and is a predicted model, not a curated record.
AGUUAAGCCACCAGCAGCACAUGCCACAGAGAACCACCAGACAGGAAGUAUACCAACUUCUCUACUUUCUCAUUUGGUCCAGACUGCUGUUUAAAGAGACCUUGCUCGUGGUGUUCCUGUGCAGAUGACUUUGACCCGACCUCGACUCCUCUCAACAAACACCGGAUGAGGCUGACACAUUCUCUGGAAGGGGAUUGAACAGCCAGCAGCACUACACUCCAAUCAUUGAUAAAGCUAAUCCCCCCACCAUUACCCCACCCCACCCCCACCCAGGCUGACUGGUCCGGCAUCGCUGUGCGAACAGGAGGAAAACAGACCCGAGAGUGCAAUCAAGCCACUGAUAAACGCCGCUGUGUCUUUCACAUGGGAACGCAUAAAAAAGUGAGAGCCCUUGAAUAGAUAAGGAUGCAGCACACCUGAUGCCAACAUCUAUAACGGAUGGUGCUGAGUGCUGGAACACGACAACAAGUCAACAGCCUAUAGCACACACUGGGCACUGUGCCUGUCAUGUCUGACAUGUCUGCUGGCUUUCUGUUUUACCCUGAACGUCUGCCAUCAAAUGCCUUCUGUACUCUGCUAACAAACAUGUAUGGGAAAUCAGCUUCUGCAUUUGCUUCCCGGUUAGCAGGGUUUAUUAUAGAUGUUUAUUUCAAUGGAACUACGACGAUGAUAUUUAUAUGUUAUGCUAUAGAUGAACAGAAAAGUUGACUGCUUACAAGUCUAAACGUCUAAGUCUAAGACAUGUGAAUCUAUUGUUCCACUGACAGUCCCCCCCCCCCCCCCCCCUUUCUCUCUGUUGAUGGCACAGCCCCUGCUGCAUCAACGAGAACAUGAAGUGCUUAAGGGUACAUUUCCAACCUCAGGAGCAGUUUAAGGAGGAUAAUCUCGGAACGUUUUGUCUGCAAGUGUAUUUUAGUUGAUGAGCCUCGUCUGUGACAGACCCUGAGGCACAGUUCAUUGUGACAUUAAAGACAGCUUCCUGUCCCUCUUGCUACCUAAUUCUAGAAAAGAAAAAUAAAGUUUAAAAAUUGAAGAUAUCAGUACUCAGCAAGAGAGACUAAUUUAUUGCAUGACCUUUAUUAAAUCAGAUGCAGCCUAGAUGGCAAAUCCUCUCAACUAGCACUUCCUGAUUGAUUGAUUAUUUGAUUUGAGGGGAAAUCACUUUCAGCCUGUCCAGUACAGAAGUGGGGUCAAUUACUUGACUCAAGAUUUAUCUGAUUGAAUAUGCAUUCUUUUCCUAAUGGGAGCAUAACACCUAGAAUUACAGAAUUACCUUAUGCAAAUCAUCAGUCUCAGCUCAGCUUUAUAUAAAAUGUUUCAGCAAUGUGUUUCAGCCUUAUUCCAAUAGGGCAUGAUGCAGACUACUGCACAUUUAUAGCCCUAUACAGUGCCAUCUAUUGUGCAUAAGAUGAACUGUACAUCUGCAGUACAUCUAUUUGAAUUCUGAGAAAUUCCUCGACUCUUUUCUCUUUUCACACAUUUUUC